This 443-nucleotide ribosomal RNA is filed under the name uncultured Saccharofermentans sp. RNAcentral describes it as "bacterial SSU rRNA". It matches the Rfam family "Bacterial small subunit ribosomal RNA", at positions 338 to 795 of the family's 1533-position model. Lineage: Bacteria; Bacillati; Bacillota; Clostridia; Eubacteriales; Oscillospiraceae. The record is from RNAcentral.
CCUACGGGCGGCUGCAGUGGGGAAUAUUGGGCAAUGGGGGAAACCCUGACCCAGCAACGCCGCGUGAAGGAAGAAGGCCUUCGGGUUGUAAACUUCUUUGAUCAGGGAAGAAACAAAUGACGGUACCUGAAAAACAAGCCACGGCUAACUACGUGCCAGCAGCCGCGGUAAUACGUAGGUGGCAAGCGUUAUCCGGAUUUACUGGGUGUAAAGGGCGUGUAGGCGGUCUCAUAAGUCAGAUGUGAAAUUCCCGGGCUUAACCCGGGCGCUGCAUCUGAAACUGUGGGACUUGAGUACUGGAGAGGAUAGUGGAAUUCCUAGUGUAGCGGUAAAAUGCGUAGAUAUUAGGAGGAACACCGGUGGCGAAGGCGACUAUCUGGACAGUAACUGACGCUGAGGCGCGAAAGCGUGGGGAGCAAACAGGAUUAGAUACCCCAGUAGUC